GUGGGAGUGCGAGUGGCUGUGCAGCGGCGGAAGUUAUCUCUGCAGGGAAGAUGGAAAAGGAGCAGCAGUAUGGCUGCGUAGCCAAGACUUGGCCCUGAAUGCUACGGGACUGGAGGAACCACAGGAGCGCUGCCUCUGAUAGGCAGUGUGUCCCUAGACUUCACACAGCCAGAGCCUAGCCUUACACCUGUCAGCACCCAUGUCAAGUUCACCCCAAGCCCUGGCUGCUUGUGUCCUGUGACCACCUACCCUCUGCACCUGCCUUUGCAUCUUGUGAACAUUUCUGAGUGAGGAGCGUGUGGCUGGCUCCGUGUCACUCAGAGGUUUUGAGUCAUCCUUUUCUUGGCUGUGUAAUAUUCUUCCUAUAGGUGACCAGACUGGGCUUGCCCAUUGUCCCCUCACUAUCCUCCUGUCACAGCCACCAGAGUCCUGGAAUCACAGCUGGUGGAGCUGAAGAAUGGGGAGACCUACAACGGGCACCUGGUGAGCUGCGACAACUGGAUGAACAUCAACCUUCGAGAAGUGAUCUGCACAUCGAGGGACGGUGACAAGUUCUGGAGGAUGCCCGAGUGCUACAUCCGAGGCAGCACCAUCAAGUACCUGCGUAUCCCGGAUGAGAUC
Molecule: long non-coding RNA, 621 nt
Filed under: Rattus norvegicus (Norway rat)
Lineage: Eukaryota; Metazoa; Chordata; Mammalia; Rodentia; Muridae
Description: long non-coding RNA NONRATT011863
Source: RNAcentral